UAGGGAAUCUUCGGCAAUGGGGGCAACCCUGACCGAGCAACGCCGCGUGAGUGAAGAAGGUUUUCGGAUCGUAAAGCUCUGUUGUAAGAGAAGAACGUGUGUGAGAGUGGAAAGUUCACACAGUGACGGUAACUUACCAGAAAGGGACGGCUAACUACGUGCCAGCAGCCGCGGUAAUACGUAGGUCCCGAGCGUUGUCCGGAUUUAUUGGGCGUAAAGCGAGCGCAGGCGGUUUAAUAAGUCUGAAGUUAAAGGCAGUGGCUUAACCGUUGUGCGCUUUGGAAACUGUGGAGCUUGGGUGCGGAGGGGGGGGGUGGAAUUCCAUGUGUAGCGGUGAAAUGCGUAGAUAUAUGGAGGAACACCGGUGGCGAAAGCGGCUCUCUGGUCUGUAACUGACGCUGAGGCUCGAAAGCGUGGGGAGCAAACAGG
RNAcentral lists this ribosomal RNA (429 nucleotides) under bacterium. Its description in RNAcentral is "partial 16S ribosomal RNA". It matches the Rfam family "Bacterial small subunit ribosomal RNA", at positions 355 to 776 of the family's 1533-position model. The record is from RNAcentral.